Penaeus vannamei (Pacific white shrimp) is the source of this 1569-nucleotide non-coding RNA. The record is from RefSeq and is a predicted model, not a curated record. NCBI's taxonomy places the organism in Eukaryota, Metazoa, Arthropoda, Malacostraca, Decapoda, Penaeidae.
CCAAAUAAGCCAUAACUCUCGCUUGUAUUCGCAAGCUGUCGGGCAAUUCCCAGCAAGUCCUUCUUUCUGUAAUAUUUUGAUAUAUACCACAAUCAGCUGAAUAUGUCGACGUCUCCAGAUCACCUGAAUUCAGCGAGAAAGAGACUGGUAGAGGCCCUUGGCUCGGAGAAGAAGCAGAAAUAUUUCCAUCACAUGAAACAGUGGUUCAGAAUGAAGCUGUCAAAGGAGGAAUUUGACUCAUUAGCAAGAGAACUUCUAGCGAUUGAUUCUGUACACCUGCACAACGAAUUCCUCCUAGCCAUCCUAACAAAAUGCCAGCUCUUUAGCUCUUCUUCCUCUACUUCACGUUCCGAGUCGUACCACAGGCAUGAAGAACAGAGAGUGGACACAGGACAAGGCACCUCCAACAUGCGGGAUCACAAUACAUCUCUUAACAUAUACUCGGCUCCAGCUGUUGAGCGGAAAAAGAUUAAACCCAAGAAGAAGAACAAAGUUUCACGGCCAACACAUGAUGGUAAUUUUGAGCCAGUAACAGUCCAAGACACAGCCCCCACGGCCACCCUGCGUGAGCCCCAGGCCAUCAUAGACUCGGGGGCUGGCUACCUUUCCCGUUCCUUGUGCCUGCUGGAUACAGGGCCCCUCAAAGGUCGUUUGUUGUUGGCAGCAUGGGACCAUGGCAUCACGCAAGUAGGGGACAAUGUUGCCAACAUUCUGCAAGAGGCCACUCAGCAAUGUCUGAAGAACAUCCUGAUGGCGACGGUAAGCAGACGUCGUGGGUAUCGCAUGAGGGAAGGGCGUUUCAUUCACUCCCUGGGCACAACACCUCCGAAUCCCUGGCUGAGGAACACUGCUUCACUCAAUGACUGGACGAAUGAGAGCCUGGGCCUCCCAAUGGGCGAGGGAGGGGAGCUGGGUGACCGACCCAUCUGGCCAACUGUGGACUCGGCAGACCAGAACGCAGCACACUUGGCUUCCUGCGCGCUUCCAGUUGAGAAUCCUCUUCCUCCUAUCAAUUGCUUCGACUUGUUUGAGGCUUUGCAGGUCCAGAAGAGCGUGCUUCCAUGCCACUCGGUGUACGCACUAGGCCUGGAGCGUAUUUCCUCGAGGCUUUGGCACCCUAGCUGGGGUGAGGUGGAGCAGGAAGCCAUCGCAGCACAAGAAGCUUCCCUCAGAGACACACUGAAGGAGCAUCGGCUGGCAGCCAAUCCUGUCUCUUAGCUGUGUCAGGUUGGUUGGUCGGGCAGUCACAAUUUUUUCCUGGGCUUUUCUUCAGACUGGGAUACCUGUUCCCUCAUUUAGAUGUUUAGGAUGUCCAUAUGCAGCCAAGAAAAUUUAGUAUGUUUUACAUACACGGAUACUUGUGAAUGUCAAAAAUAGAUCAUAAAAAAAUCAACAUACAUAUUGUUUUCAUAAAUAUGUUUCUUUCUCUCUGUUGUUUGCAUUUCUCAGUAAUGAUGAAACCCAUCCUGAUAAAACCAAAACAGUAUUAGUAUUAGACCUUUUGUGAACAUGCAAAGAACACCUUUCACAUAUUUUUCUGUGUAUAUUUAUCAAUAAAAAAAAAUCGAG